This is a non-coding RNA of Hordeum vulgare subsp. vulgare (domesticated barley), 137 nucleotides long. The record is from Rfam. NCBI's taxonomy places the organism in Eukaryota, Viridiplantae, Streptophyta, Magnoliopsida, Poales, Poaceae.
UUAGUACUUUCUUCGUUCUAAAUUUUUUUGUUUUACAUUUAUCUAGAUAUGAAUGUAUCUAGUGACGAUUUAGUAUGUAGAUACAUUCAUUUUUAGAUAAAUCUAAGAUUAAAAAAUUGGGACGGAGGGAGUGCUCU